AGCAGCCGCGGUAAUUCCAGCUCCAAUAGCGUAUAUUAAAGUUGUUGCAGUUAAAAGCUCGUAGUUGAAUUUCAGGCCUGGCUGGACGGUCCGCCUUUUGGGUGAGUACUGUCUGUGGUCGGGUCCUACCUUCUGGCGAAGCAUCAUGGCCUUAACCGGCCGUGGUGGGGAACCAGGACUUUUACUGUGAAAAAUUAGAGUGUUCAAAGCAGGCAGUCGCUUGGAUACAUUAGCAUGGAAUAAUGGAAUAGGACAAUGGUUCUAUUUGUUGGUUUCUAGGACCGUUGUAAUGAUUAAUAGGGAUAGUUGGGGGCAUUAGUAUUCAAUUGUCAGAGGUGAAAUUCUUGGAUUUAUUGAAGACUAACUACUGCGAAAGCAUUUGCCAAGGAUGUUUUCAUUAAUCAAGAACGAAAGUUAGGGAUCGAAGACGAUCAGAUACCGUGUAGUCUU
This 450-nucleotide ribosomal RNA is filed under the name uncultured Glomeromycotina. RNAcentral's name for it is "SSU rRNA". It matches the Rfam family "Eukaryotic small subunit ribosomal RNA", at positions 569 to 1027 of the family's 1831-position model. The record is from RNAcentral. Lineage: Eukaryota; Fungi; Glomeromycota.